Pelobates cultripes (western spadefoot toad) is the source of this 343-nucleotide non-coding RNA. NCBI's taxonomy places the organism in Eukaryota, Metazoa, Chordata, Amphibia, Anura, Pelobatidae. The record is from the annotation of a GenBank genome assembly.
CUUAACCAAUCAGUGGACAGGAUUUGGAUUUCCUUAUAUGUGCAGACCACAUGGCUCAUCCGAAACAAAGGAGAAAGGAGUGUGAUUUCAGUUCCUGCAUUCCUGCACAUGCUCAGUACAUUGAUGACAGUAUCUUAGCUACGUGUAAUUAACUAACUGAUACAACAUACACAUAUGCCACGUGGAAAGCUCGGCCUACUAAAUUUACAUUUCACCGAAAUUCCAUCACAGUAGGGACUUAUGGGCCAUAUAGUACAUGUCUCUGUAUAAUGCUUCAGCUCUCUCUAUCUUUGUAGCCCUAUCUUGGCUCUCCCUAAUUUCUCGUGCAGAGAGAACUUGCUGG